UAUUGGCUGUUCUCAGCUCGUGUCUUGAGAUGUUGGGUUAAGUCCCGCAACGAGCGCAACCCUUGUCCUCAGUUACCAGCACGUUAUGGUGGGCACUCUGGGGAGACUGCCGGUGACAAACCGGAGGAAGGUGGGGACGACGUCAAGUCAUCAUGGCCCUUACGGCCAGGGCUACACACGUGCUACAAUGGUGCAUACAGACGGUUGCCAAGCCGUGAAGUGGAGCUAAUCUGAGAAAGUGCAUCGUAGUCCGGAUUGGAGUCUGCAACUCGACUCCAUGAAGUCGGAAUCGCUAGUAAUCGUGAAUCAGAAUGUCGCGGUGAAUACGUUCCCGGGA
This 337-nucleotide ribosomal RNA is filed under the name uncultured Spongiobacter sp. RNAcentral describes it as "bacterial SSU rRNA". It matches the Rfam family "Bacterial small subunit ribosomal RNA", at positions 1043 to 1378 of the family's 1533-position model. The record is from RNAcentral. Lineage: Bacteria; Pseudomonadati; Pseudomonadota; Gammaproteobacteria.